RNAcentral lists this ribosomal RNA (438 nucleotides) under uncultured bacterium. RNAcentral's name for it is "bacterial SSU rRNA". It matches the Rfam family "Bacterial small subunit ribosomal RNA", at positions 29 to 517 of the family's 1533-position model. The record is from RNAcentral.
AACGAACGCUGGCGGCAGGCUUAACACAUGCAAGUCGAACGCCCCGCAAGGGGAGUGGCGCACGGGUGAGUAACGCGUGGGAAUAUGCCCUUCGGUUCGGAAUAACACAGGGAAACUUGUGCUAAUACCGGAUACGAUCUACGGAUGAAAGAUUUAUCGCCGAGGGAGUAGCCCGCGUAGGAUUAGCUAGUUGGUGAGGUAAUGGCUCACCAAGGCGACGAUCCUUAGCUGGUCUGAGAGGAUGAUCAGCCACACUGGGACUGAGACACGGCCCAGACUCCUACGGGAGGCAGCAGUGGGGAAUAUUGGACAAUGGGCGAAAGCCUGAUCCAGCCAUGCCGCGUGAGUGAUGAAGGCCUAGGGUUGUAAAGCUCUUUCGCCAGGGAAGAUAAUGACGGUACCUGGAAAUAAGCCCGGCUAACUUCGUGCCAGCAGCCG